UUCCUACGGGGGGCAGCAGUGAGGAAUAUUGGUCAAUGGGCGGGAGCCUGAACCAGCCAAGCCGCGUGAAGGAAGAAGGCGCCAAGCGUCGUAAACUUCUUUUGUCGGGGAACAAAGGGCGCCACGUGUGGCGUUGUGAGUGUACCCGAAGAAAAAGCAUCGGCUAACUCCGUGCCAGCAGCCGCGGUAAUACGGAGGAUGCGAGCGUUAUCCGGAUUUAUUGGGUUUAAAGGGUGCGCAGGCGGCACGGCAAGCCGGCGGUCAAAUCGCGGGGCUCAACCCCGCCCAGCCGUCGCAACUGCCGG
Molecule: ribosomal RNA, 305 nt
Filed under: uncultured bacterium
Lineage: Bacteria
Description: bacterial SSU rRNA
Rfam family: Bacterial small subunit ribosomal RNA
Source: RNAcentral